GGACAAGAUCUUUAGCUGCUGUUGCAAGGGACAGAUAGUUUUUGGGUUUUUUUUUUUGUCCAGUUAUGUCUGUUUGCUAGUGGUUCAGAUUUUCUUUACUGUUUUGUAUCUAACCUGUUUGAUGGAAUAGAUUCAUUUGGUGUGCGGCAGGAGUGAAUAAAUGGAAACUGAAAUCAAUGAAUGACUCCUUAUGAUGAGGGGUUAUCUAUACAUGGUAGGAAAAACACAACAAGUGCAAUAUGAUCUGAGGAACUGCCAGACUGUGGAGACAGAAGUGUGGACAGAUUUUGAGCUCCUGAAUUAUAACUGUGGCUUUGGUGAGUCCUCAGUGGCAAGCUGCUUCAGUUUUCUUCGUUUUAUUACCCUUGUUUGUGGAAUUACAGGCAUUAAAGUGUUAAUGGAUGCAAAGUGCUUAAGAAAUUGAAAGAGCUGCCUAAGUGCUGCUGCUAUUACUGUUAUAGUGGCGACUCCAGACUAAAGGGAGUAAACUCUUCCCUUGCUGUGCUGUAGCCAGUAGAUAAAAUUAAAUGCAGACCUAUCACCUUCCCCAGUGCUGGAGUUAGGGGUUAGUCAUCGUUUACCCUCAGGUUUCCAGAGCAAUUUUUUGUUGUCACGCUUCUAAAGGGAAUAACUUUAUGAGGCAGAGUACUUCAGUAGGCUUCUGAAAAUAGACGUGUGCAGGUGGCAGGGUAUUUGGGUG
RNAcentral lists this long non-coding RNA (700 nucleotides) under Struthio camelus australis. RNAcentral's name for it is "lncRNA (ENSSCUG00000014352.1)". Lineage: Eukaryota; Metazoa; Chordata; Aves; Struthioniformes; Struthionidae. The record is from RNAcentral.